Molecule: long non-coding RNA, 482 nt
Organism: Symphalangus syndactylus (siamang)
Lineage: Eukaryota; Metazoa; Chordata; Mammalia; Primates; Hylobatidae
Source: RefSeq, a predicted model, not a curated record
GCCAUCUUGGUGCGCCAUUUCGGGGUUCACAGGAUGCUCUGGGACUCGGGAUUGCUUUAGAUCCAAGUCUAGGAAACUCAGUCUGUGGCCCGGCACGGGAACCCUUCCUCUUUCCUUCGGCACCGCAGCUCUCCCAUCCCAGCGCCUGCGCGCCUGCUCCAGAGCCUGUUUCUCAAGGUGCGGCCCAGCAGCAGCACCAAGCCCCGAGAGCCUGCGGAAACGCGGACUCCAGGCCUGACCAGGAUUCACCGAAUGAGAAUACGCAUUGACACAGAACCAUCAGAACCCAGAUGGCGUAACUGUGACACCGCAGGCAACUGUUACAGCAAACUCAACAGAGACGGGCAGAACACAGAAGGAGCUGCAGUGAGCCAGGCCCUUGGGGUUCUCAGGAAAAGGAAGAACUGUCAGUCUGAAGAGGACAGUUCACUCCUUCGUGUUGUGUAAGGACCUCAAGAAAGGAGGAAGGCAGAGAAUUCCAG